CCUACGGGAGGCAGCAGUGAGGAAUAUUGGUCAAUGGUCGGGAGACUGAACCAGCCAAGCCGCGUGAGGGAUGAAGGUACAGAGUAUCGUAAACCUCUUUUGUCAGGGAACAAAGGCGGGGACGUGUCCCCGGAUGAGUGUACCUGAAGAAAAAGCAUCGGCUAACUCCGUGCCAGCAGCCGCGGUAAUACGGAGGAUGCGAGCGUUAUCCGGAUUUAUUGGGUUUAAAGGGUGCGCAGGCGGUCUGUUAAGUCAGCGGUGAAAGCCGGGGGCUCAACCCCGGCCCGCCGUUGAAACUGGCAGUCUCGAGUUGGAGAGAAGUAUGCGGAAUGCGCGGUGUAGCGGUGAAAUGCAUAGAUAUCGCGCAGAACUCCGAUUGCGAAGGCAGCAUGCCGGCUCCACACUGACGCUGAGGCACGAAAGCGUGGGUAUCGAACAGGAUUAGAUACCUUAGUAGUC
RNAcentral lists this ribosomal RNA (459 nucleotides) under uncultured bacterium. RNAcentral's name for it is "partial 16S ribosomal RNA". It matches the Rfam family "Bacterial small subunit ribosomal RNA", at positions 338 to 795 of the family's 1533-position model. The record is from RNAcentral.